RNAcentral lists this long non-coding RNA (511 nucleotides) under Olea europaea subsp. europaea. The record is from RNAcentral. Lineage: Eukaryota; Viridiplantae; Streptophyta; Magnoliopsida; Lamiales; Oleaceae.
GCAAGAUUUAUAAAAGUUCGUCUUUAUGUGAGAUUACGUCAUCUUCCACCUUAUAGUAAUUCACUAUCAUGAAAGAAAUUUACAAAAUCGAACACCCCAUCUUCUCUCUUUUUCAAUUUACGUUUUUUGCUCCGCACAAUGAAUAAUUAGGAUCCAUAACUUAAGGGAUCGAACAAGCAUACAGAUUUGAGAGAAUUGAGGUGCGCUACAAAAUGCAACAGACACAUUAUAAACAACAAUAAUGUUUCAAGCUGUCAAGUAAAUCACACAAACUCAAUAUUCUAAUCAAAAUCCUAAUUUGUGCACACUUUUUUAAAAGAAGAAUACGCGACGGCGAACUUAAACUCAAGAAGUCCUAUUCCUGCUAUCAUUAUUUCUCCGGAGAGAAGGAAAAGGUGCAAUUUAAUCAUUUAAAUAAUUAAUCUGAAAAGACUCCAAAGUAAAAGGGAAAACUACAAAACCCUAAGCAGAAUAAAGACUUUCACUACCUUAAUAUGUAAUUACAAUAAUA